AUCAGGAGAUCUAUAUUAGGUCAGUUCACUCAACCCUGGUUUUCCUAUUUCAGCUUCCCUUGCAACUCCGUCAGUGGAAGCCAAGUUGGGGUAGACAUGGCACAAGGACAGCAAGGAAGAAAGAAAAAAAUGCAUCCCCUUUUUUGUUGUUAUUUUCUCAACAGUCUCUGGAAGAAAAGAAAAAGAAGAGAUGUCACUGGGAUGAUCUCUCCAAAUCAAUAGACAGCACUUUUUAACCAUAAGUUCAGUGACAACUCAUGACAACUUAUAUCCCCCUAGAAAUGUGAUGUCGAGAUGUCAGUCUUCAAAUUAAGAAAAAGAAAAAUCCAAAUCAUAAAAUCAAAUCUCUAUCUGAUAACAGUUUGAGCUUGGCAAAACCACCACCAGGGGGAGCAAGUUACUGGACAAAGGAAGUGAUGUACAGUUUCAGAAUUUUAAUAGAAAAUCCAGCUUCAAAGAACAACAUGAUACCACAAUUGGUAAGAAUAAAAGAGAAACAAGAUGACUCGAAAUUACAUGAACUCCUAACUCUCUAGUAUCUUAUUAAAAUAAAAUUGCUUUACUUUAGUUUCUGGAGUGAGUUGCUGUGACACUACCACAGUUAUAUUUUCUUUGUAAUGCGUUUUUCCCAGUGAAGUAUCCUAUCUUCCACAGCCCUUAUGACCUACAUGCUGACAGCACUUUUGAAAAUGCAAAUUACCUUACAAAUUUAAUGACAUAAUACAUAUCAGGUUCAUGUAAUUAUGGAUAGAAAAAAAAUCUGGAAGUUGAGAGGGCCUGCCUGCUUGACAGGCAGUAUAUGCAAUACAUUUUACAUGUGGGAGGGUUAAUUCAUAUGUCUUUUAAGGCACAGUCUUCAAAUAUUUUACAUCUAAAUUAAGGGAAACUAACUUACUAAAGGAAGCAAAUAGAGUGACUUCUAAGCAAGCUAUGAGCAUGUACUUUUAAAUCCCAUGACUGAAAUUAUUUGAGAAAUCCUUUGUGAUAUAAGAAAGAUUAUUCAUAAAGAAUUUUAGCACCUGUUUACAAAUUCACAAGUCAUGUUAAGCAGCAUAACUUGAAAAGAAAACCUUUUGAAGGAAACAACUUGUGUCAGUGUCAUUAUGAAUAUUUUACAUUGACAUCAAACAGAAUAAAACCCAUAUUUUAUUUAACAUGAUCUAUUUAUUGAUUGCAUACUGGGUACACAAUUUUAAACAAAACAAAUAUGACCACAUUAUCCCAUGUCUAAGAAGAAAGGAGAGCAUUCAACAUAUAAUUUUUCUAAUCUAGGAUUAUGUAACAAAGUGUUUUGAGAAAGCACUGUUUGCAAUGGGAAAGUAUAAUGGAAUUAUAACUUUGGUUGGAUACUUAGGGUAGUCUUCUCAGAGGAAGUUUUAAUGUGGUGGAUACUAAGAAUUGUCUAAGUGAAUCAUGAGAAUGAAGACUGGGAAGAAGAAAUAAUAGUCCAGUUAGAACUGUGUCUUUGGGAACUGUACGGAGAGGAUAUCUUGACAAAUUUGAGGAACUGAAAGAUUCCUAUUGAGUCUCCAGUUGAGUGAUCAAAGGGAUGCAGGUCAGAGUAGGUACAAGUAGGAGAACUAAGGCAACUUAUGAUUCUUUAAGAGUCUUAUAAGAUACACAUUGAAAAUUUUAGAUAUUAAUCAGAAUACAAUGGGGCUUUUAUUCUGAUUUGUACAGAUUUCCAGUACAAAAAGAGUUUUGUACUGGAAAGUGACAUGAUCUACAUUAUGUUUUGAGAAGGUUAUAUUGGCAUAUGUGUGAAAAAAACUAGAGGGGAAAUAGAAGGGAUACAGGGAAACUUAUUAGGAGGCCUUUGUGGCCAUCCUGGUAAGAGAUAAUGAUGGAUGAAAUUAUGGUGGUGACACCAGAGAAGCCAAUAAUACACACACACAAACUAAGUAGAGUCAAGAGGACUUGGUAAUGAAUUGGGUCUAUAGAAUGAUGGAGAGGGGAAUGACAAGGCUAAGACAUGCCCUUUUUGGUUAAAACAAAGACUGGGAAAAAGCAAGUUUUGCAGAAAAAGAUUAACAAUUCAUGUUUCUAAAUAUGUGAAUGUUGAAAAGUUUGAAAUACUUGUAAGUCAUCCAGGUUUACAUCCAAGAUACCAUAAAUUAUGGCCUCUGCUCUUAUAUACAUGCAUGUGCAUGAAAUAGGCAAUGUAAUUGGACUGG
Molecule: long non-coding RNA, 2174 nt
Filed under: Macaca mulatta (Rhesus monkey)
Lineage: Eukaryota; Metazoa; Chordata; Mammalia; Primates; Cercopithecidae
Description: lncRNA (ENSMMUG00000058557.1)
Source: RNAcentral